Molecule: ribosomal RNA, 516 nt
Filed under: uncultured bacterium
Lineage: Bacteria
Description: partial 16S ribosomal RNA
Rfam family: Bacterial small subunit ribosomal RNA
Source: RNAcentral
ACUCAAAGGAAUUGACGGGGGCUCACACAAGCGGUGGAGCAUGUGGCUUAAUUCGAGGCUACGCGAAGAACCUUAUCCUGGGCUUGACAUGUUCGAAAGAGGCAGCAGGUAGGACCCGGAAACGGGGACGAACGGUAUCCAACCCGGAAGCUGCCACAGGUGCUGCAUGGCUGUCGUCAGCUCGUGUCGUGAGAUGUCGGGUUAAGUCCCAUAACGAGCGAAACCCUUACCCUUAGUUGCGACGCGUAAGCGGCACUCUAGGGGGACUGCCGGUGUCAAACCGGAGGAAGGUGGGGAUGACGUCAAGUCCUCAUGGCCUUUAUGCCCAGGGCUGCACACGUGCUACAAUGGCGUGGACAGAGGGACGCGACUACGCGAGUAGAAGCCGACCCCCGAAAGCACGCCCCAGUUCAGAUCGCAGGCUGCAACCCGCCUGCGUGAAGCCGGAAUCGCUAGUAAUCGCGGGUCAGCAACACCGCGGUGAAUGUGUUCCUGAGCCUUGCACACACCGCCCGU